Molecule: transfer RNA, 73 nt
Filed under: Nelumbo nucifera (sacred lotus)
Lineage: Eukaryota; Viridiplantae; Streptophyta; Magnoliopsida; Proteales; Nelumbonaceae
Rfam family: tRNA
About the family: Transfer RNA (tRNA) molecules are approximately 80 nucleotides in length. Their secondary structure includes four short double-helical elements and three loops (D, anti-codon, and T loops).
Source: Rfam by way of RNAcentral
GGCGAUGUAGCUCAAAUGGUAGAGCACUCACUGUGCAUGCGAGAGGUACGGAGUUUAAUACCCUGCAUCUCCA